Molecule: ribosomal RNA, 402 nt
Filed under: uncultured bacterium
Lineage: Bacteria
Description: bacterial SSU rRNA
Rfam family: Bacterial small subunit ribosomal RNA
Source: RNAcentral
UGGGGAAUAUUGCACAAUGGGCGAAAGCCUGAUGCAGCAACGCCGCGUGAGUGAUGAAGGCCUUCGGGUUGUAAAGCUCUGUCUUCUGGGACGAUAAUGACGGUACCAGAGGAGGAAGCCACGGCUAACUACGUGCCAGCAGCCGCGGUAAUACGAAGGUGGCAAGCGUUGUCCGGAUUUACUGGGCGUAAAGGAUGCGUAGGCGGAUACUUAAGUCAGAUGUGAAAAUCCCGGGCUUAACUUGGGAACUGCAUUUGAAACUGGGUAUCUAGAGUGCGGGAGAGGAAAGUGGAAUUCCUAGUGUAGCGGUGAAAUGCGUAGAGAUUAGGAAGAACACCAGUGGCGAAGGCGACUUUCUGGACCGUAACUGACGCUGAGGCAUGAAAGCGUGGGGAGCAAACA